AGCGAACGCUGGCGGCAGGCUUAACACAUGCAAGUCGAGCGGGCACUUCGGUGUCAGCGGCAGACGGGUGAGUAACACGUGGGAACGUACCCUUUGGUUCGGAAUAACGCUGGGAAACUAGCGCUAAUACCGGAUACGCCCUUUUGGGGAAAGGCUUGCUGCCGAAGGAUCGGCCCGCGUCUGAUUAGCUAGUUGGUGGGGUAAUGGCCUACCAAGGCGACGAUCAGUAGCUGGUCUGAGAGGAUGAUCAGCCACACUGGGACUGAGACACGGCCCAGACUCCUACGGGAGGCAGCAGUGGGGAAUAUUGGACAAUGGGCGCAAGACUGAUCCAGCCAUGCCGCGUGAGUGAUGAAGGCCUUAGGGUUGUAAAGCUCUUUUGUCCGGGACGAUAAUGACGGUACCGGAAGAAUAAGCCCCGGCUAACUUCGUG
This 433-nucleotide ribosomal RNA is filed under the name uncultured bacterium. RNAcentral describes it as "partial 16S ribosomal RNA". It matches the Rfam family "Bacterial small subunit ribosomal RNA", at positions 29 to 507 of the family's 1533-position model. The record is from RNAcentral.